GGGAUUGCCCCAGUAACGGCGAGUGAAGCGGCAACAGCUCAAAUUUGAAAUCUGGGGUCCUUUGGGCCUCCGAGUUGUAGUUUGCAGAGGGAGCCUCGGAGGGCGUGCCGGCCCAAGUGCCUUGGAACAGGAUACCGCAGAGGGUGAGAGUCCCGUAUCCGGCCGGUGGCGCGCUCCGUGUGAGGCCUCUUCGACGAGUCGAGUUGUUUGGGAAUGCAGCUCCAAGCGGGUGGUAAAUUCCAUCUAAAGCUAAAUACUGGCCAGAGACCGAUAGCGAACAAGUAGAGUGAUCGAAAGAUGAAAAGCACUUUGAAAAGAGAGUCAAACAGUACGUGAAAUUGUUGAAAGGGAAGCGCAUGGGGGCAGACUUGGCCGCGGGGUUCAGGGUGCGUUCUCGCGCCUGCACUUCCCCGCGGACAGGCCAGCAUCGGUUCUGGGGGCCGGACAAAGGGGCCGGGAAGGUAGCCGCCUUCGGGCGGUGUUAUAGCCCGGCGCGCAAUGCGGCCACCUGGGACCGAGGACCGCGCUUCGGCAAGGAUGCUGGCGUAAUGGCCUCAUGCGGCCCGUCUUGAAACACGGACCAAGGAGUCUAACAUCUAUGCGAGUGUUUGGGUGGCAAGCCCGGGCGCGCAAUGAAAGUGAACGGAGGUGGGAGCUGUCGUAGGCGCACCAUCGACCGAUCCGGACGUUUUCCGAAGGAUUUGAGUAGGAGCAUAGCUGUUGGGACCCGAAAGAUGGUGAACUAUGCGUGAAUAGGGUGAAGCCAGAGGAAACUCUGGUGGAGGCUCGCAGCGG
Molecule: ribosomal RNA, 795 nt
Filed under: Scolecobasidium tshawytschae
Lineage: Eukaryota; Fungi; Ascomycota; Dothideomycetes; Venturiales; Sympoventuriaceae
Description: eukaryotic LSU rRNA
Rfam family: Eukaryotic large subunit ribosomal RNA
Source: RNAcentral